CGUCGCUCACCAAUUUGAGAGCGCGCAUAUUGGUUAUUAGGAAAAAUAAUACUGAAUAUGAAUUAAUGACAUGUAAAUUCACUUGAUAUAAUCGUAGCUCGUAAGAACGGCAACAACGCAAUCUAAAAAGUUACACAUUUAGUGGAGGAGGAGGAAGAUUGAUCAGCUGUGCGAGGUGUGUAUGACCAAAUGUAUCGUCACAAAGUGGUAUCUGUACGUCAGGUGACACAAUGGAAUUUGUUUUAUGCCGUUAUUUAUUUUGAGUUACUUGUAGGUAAUAAAUACUUGAGGAAAGAUACGCAUUGUGGAGAUUGUCGCCUUCCAGACAGCAUUUUUUGUUGGUCGGAGUAAUCAAUCCGGAAUUUGGAAAGUAAAACUGCCAUCCUAUUUUUUUGGUUUCCUGAACACCGGACGCCGUACAGAAAAUGCGCAAUUUAGUCUCUGACCAGUUUGAUCGACUGUUGAUGAUAACCGACAUCUAUGGUGUCCUUUUUCUGUUUUUUCUGGAAAAAGAUGACUCUAUUCAUCAAACUUUUUGGCAAUUCGUUUCCAUCGGGAUCUCUACGUAGCAAAUGCCUGCUUUUUCAUUUUCUUGCUCUUUUUAUCUUGCGGAAUUCCGAACUCCACCUUUUGGCUGCCUUCAACCUGAUCUGUGGAUUCUGAUUCUGCUAUCGUUUCCAAGCUACUCGUGGUCAUUACUGUCACGUUUUGAAACGAGAAGGAUGUUCAUAAACACUUGAAGAUUUACUCUUCAUCAAAUCGUCAAUGUCAGCCAAGAUUUCCGUGCAAUCUAAUCCUUCCUGUAGUCGAAGGAUUGCGACGGCUACAUUCAUUUCGAAUCCAGUCAACCAGUCGUUUUUGUAUCCCAUCAUCAGGAUGUUUGGCUUCACUUUGCCCAAUCCCGUGAGGCCAAGCAUUGAAGCAACGCCCGUGUGUAGAUUCGAGUUAUCCGCAACGGAACAGAAUCCCUUGAUGUUGGCGAAUCGCAGGUGUACCGCUGUAGCCAGUGAAUCCCUUUGCUUUUUCCAAGUCAUCCGACGGGCCCAUAAUGCUUCCAGCAACGAAGUUAGAGAGGGAAAUCAUCAUAAUGAGCAACAUAAUAUUCUUCAUCUAUAAUUGUAAAAUUUGGAUCCAAGUCCGCAGAGAGUGCAAAUGAAUAACAUGGUGAGGGUGCCGAUGAUGCGAAUGUUAUUGUCACCUCCAUCUAGGAUUAUCAAUCCGCCAUAUUCCUUCAUCAUGUCCUGCACGGUUUGAGCGAAACCAACGGCGUUGAGGGAGGAAUCCAUCGCAUUGGCGAUGGUAAAGAUGACGCCGAUUGAACCUCCAAACUCAGGACCCAAAACUCUUGACCUAAUUUCAUCGGUUGUUAGAAGUAGGUUGUUUUGUUUUUCAUUAUUAUUCUUAUAAUGCCUUACAUGACAAAAUAAGUGCCGCCUGAAAUGGAUAAUAGCGUAGACAUUAUUCUUGAUUCAAAGAACGAUUUUGACUAAAUGAAUUUAUUACCUCCACCGAUCUCUCCAUUUGUUGAGAUAGCGGACAUGGACAAGGCCGUCACCAAAGUGAUGAACGUCGAAAUACCGAUGAUAACCAAAGUUUCGCCUUUGUGUUUAACAGAAUAUUUAAUAGAUUUUAAGUCCGAUUAGGUUUUAGUUUUGAAACAGCGAAAAAUAGCUCACCUAAUCCUGCUUGCCCUACUACCCACGAAAGUCGCAAGAAAAGCAUAACACCCCAAAUGCUCAUCAUAUUGCGGAUUAAAACUCCUUCGAUCCAACCGAAUUUGACGUCUUCUUUUUUAGUUUCUUUCACGGUUUCCUCAGUUAUUUUUGGCCCACUCUCAGUUGGUGUCUGACGAUCACGCGAAUUAUCGCAAAUCGAAACGUAUGAAUGUCGUAAACAAUGCCAUUUUGAACCGCAAUCAUUUAGAGAGAACAUUUACCUCCCCAAAAUCCUGAAUCAUUAUCUCUUCGUUUACUGAAGGUUGGCUAGGAAAUCCGGUAAUUAUCGAUACUAGGAAUGACAUCCCGGCUCACGUUGCGCAUCAAUUGGCGGAACGAAGCAGCAGAAGCCCUCCCCUUUUGAAUCAGAACUGAGGCUCCUA
RNAcentral lists this long non-coding RNA (2098 nucleotides) under Daphnia pulex (common water flea). RNAcentral's name for it is "uncharacterized LOC124207613, transcript variant X10". The record is from RNAcentral. Lineage: Eukaryota; Metazoa; Arthropoda; Branchiopoda; Diplostraca; Daphniidae.